RNAcentral lists this ribosomal RNA (263 nucleotides) under uncultured archaeon. RNAcentral describes it as "partial 16S ribosomal RNA". It matches the Rfam family "Archaeal small subunit ribosomal RNA", at positions 748 to 1008 of the family's 1478-position model. The record is from RNAcentral.
CAGCCGUAAACAAUGUGCGUUAGGUGUGUCGGUAACCACGUGUUACUGAUGCGCCGAAGAGAAAUCGUGAAACGCACCACCUGGGAAGUACGGUCGCAAGGCUGAAACUUAAAGGAAUUGGCGGGGGGAGCACCACAACAGGUGGAGCCUGCGGUUUAAUUGGACUCAACGCCGGAAAUCUCACCGGAUAGGGACAGACAUAUGAUAGUCGGGCUGAAGACUCUACUUGAUGAUCUGAGAGGAGGUGCAUGGCGUCAGUGACU